This 560-nucleotide long non-coding RNA is filed under the name Mytilus galloprovincialis (Mediterranean mussel). The record is from RNAcentral. Lineage: Eukaryota; Metazoa; Mollusca; Bivalvia; Mytilida; Mytilidae.
CAGGUUAUUAAAAUUAUUGAACUAAUGAAUGCUACAUGUAUAUAAAGAAAUAAUUCAAGUAUGAACGUUUUUUACAUUUAUUACAAAUCUAUAGCGUAUUGUCGACAAAUAAUAUUUCAUUCAUUGCUUGUUGAUUGCAAGUUACUUUCGGGUGUGUUGCCGAAGUUUACUGGUUUAUGGCAUUGAUAAACAAUCAACACAUAGCACGUGGAGCAUAUGAAAAAUAAAUGAAUUGAUAGAGCCAUAGUUUUUUAAAACAUUUUCUAUCAAACUUUUUUCCUUUUAACAUAUUGCUAAAUGAUUUGGUGUAUUUAAUUUGUUCCUUCAAAAUCUUUUUAUUAUUUACAUUGAAGUAUACGUUUGUUUACAUUCGUUCGUCACGGAUUCUCCCUUGCACUUGCAAUGUGCGCAGUCCUAACAAGUAGUAAUUCGUUACUCUUCAUUUUUCAAUUUUUGCCCGAUAAUCCCUACUUUUCUUUUCAUGAUUUUAUAACAUAUAGAUAAUUAUUUGAUAGCAGUACACGUACGAAGAUUAUGAUAGUAUUAAGGAUUAAUUUUUC